Molecule: non-coding RNA, 228 nt
Organism: Pelobates cultripes (western spadefoot toad)
Lineage: Eukaryota; Metazoa; Chordata; Amphibia; Anura; Pelobatidae
Source: the annotation of a GenBank genome assembly
CCCACAGUGCAUUAUGAUUCCCUCCCCUCUGCCCUGGAGAUAAUUACCAAGUAACUCAAUUAUCUCCAGGAAAAAGCCAGUCGCCAUUUUAAAUAUAAAAUCAUAAAAGACAUAAAAAUGCAUAACUUUCAAAUAACCAAACAUUUCUCAUUCGUAUCACAUAUCCCCAGAUAGCCUGGAUCUGAUUGCAUAUUAUUAGCGAAUAGCGCUCAGAUCCCACACACAUAG